RNAcentral lists this ribosomal RNA (1036 nucleotides) under Bacillus pumilus. RNAcentral's name for it is "bacterial SSU rRNA". It matches the Rfam family "Bacterial small subunit ribosomal RNA", at positions 32 to 1053 of the family's 1533-position model. The record is from RNAcentral. Lineage: Bacteria; Bacillati; Bacillota; Bacilli; Caryophanales; Bacillaceae.
GCCGUGGGCGGGGUGCUAUACAUGCAGUCGAGCGGACAGAAGGGAGCUUGCUCCCGGAUGUUAGCGGCGGACGGGUGAGUAACACGUGGGUAACCUGCCUGUAAGACUGGGAUAACUCCGGGAAACCGGAGCUAAUACCGGAUAGUUCCUUGAACCGCAUGGUUCAAGGAUGAAAGACGGUUUCGGCUGUCACUUACAGAUGGACCCGCGGCGCAUUAGCUAGUUGGUGGGGUAAUGGCUCACCAAGGCGACGAUGCGUAGCCGACCUGAGAGGGUGAUCGGCCACACUGGGACUGAGACACGGCCCAGACUCCUACGGGAGGCAGCAGUAGGGAAUCUUCCGCAAUGGACGAAAGUCUGACGGAGCAACGCCGCGUGAGUGAUGAAGGUUUUCGGAUCGUAAAGCUCUGUUGUUAGGGAAGAACAAGUGCGAGAGUAACUGCUCGCACCUUGACGGUACCUAACCAGAAAGCCACGGCUAACUACGUGCCAGCAGCCGCGGUAAUACGUAGGUGGCAAGCGUUGUCCGGAAUUAUUGGGCGUAAAGGGCUCGCAGGCGGUUUCUUAAGUCUGAUGUGAAAGCCCCCGGCUCAACCGGGGAGGGUCAUUGGAAACUGGGAAACUUGAGUGCAGAAGAGGAGAGUGGAAUUCCACGUGUAGCGGUGAAAUGCGUAGAGAUGUGGAGGAACACCAGUGGCGAAGGCGACUCUCUGGUCUGUAACUGACGCUGAGGAGCGAAAGCGUGGGGAGCGAACAGGAUUAGAUACCCUGGUAGUCCACGCCGUAAACGAUGAGUGCUAAGUGUUAGGGGGUUUCCGCCCCUUAGUGCUGCAGCUAACGCAUUAAGCACUCCGCCUGGGGAGUACGGUCGCAAGACUGAAACUCAAAGGAAUUGACGGGGGCCCGCACAAGCGGUGGAGCAUGUGGUUUAAUUCGAAGCAACGCGAAGAACCUUACCAGGUCUUGACAUCCUCUGACAACCCUAGAGAUAGGGCUUUCCCUUCGGGGACAGAGUGACAGGUGGUGCAUGGUUGUC